This 556-nucleotide ribosomal RNA is filed under the name Aspergillus pallidofulvus. RNAcentral describes it as "eukaryotic LSU rRNA". The stretch from base 163 to 316 matches the Rfam family "5.8S ribosomal RNA". The record is from RNAcentral. Lineage: Eukaryota; Fungi; Ascomycota; Eurotiomycetes; Eurotiales; Aspergillaceae.
AGGGUCCCUCGGGGCCCAACCUCCCACCCGUGUAUACCGUACCUUGUUGCUUCGGCGAGCCCGCCCCCUUUUUCUUAGGGGGGCACAGCGCUCGCCGGAGACACCAACGUGAACACUGUCUGAAGUUUUGUCGUCUGAGUCGAUUGUAUCGCAAUCAGUUAAAACUUUCAACAAUGGAUCUCUUGGUUCCGGCAUCGAUGAAGAACGCAGCGAAAUGCGAUAAUUAAUGUGAAUUGCAGAAUUCAGUGAAUCAUCGAGUCUUUGAACGCACAUUGCACCCCCUGGUAUUCCGGGGGGUAUGCCUGUCCGAGCGUCAUUGCUGCCCUCAAGCACGGCUUGUGUGUUGGGUCGUCGUCCCCCCCGGGGGACGGGCCCGAAAGGCAGCGGCGGCACCGCGUCCGGUCCUCGAGCGUAUGGGGCUUUGUCACACCGCUCUUGUAGGCCCGGCCGGCUGCUGGCCGACGCUGAAAAGCAACCAACUAUUUCUCCAGGUUGACCUCGGAUCAGGUAGGGAUACCCGCUGAACUUAAGCAUAUCAAUAAGCGGAGGAAAAGAA